This is a long non-coding RNA of Haliotis rubra (blacklip abalone), 890 nucleotides long. RefSeq lists it as uncharacterized. The record is from RefSeq and is a predicted model, not a curated record. The transcript has 2 exons. Lineage: Eukaryota; Metazoa; Mollusca; Gastropoda; Lepetellida; Haliotidae.
GGGAACUGACGCUUGUUUUGUUUUGUUUUAAACCGCUGUUUCGUUUCUCUUAUCUGCACAGUUGAUCCCCGUAUGAAAGUUGAAACGGAAGGAAAAAGCGAUAGCAGAGUUACUUCCGUGUUUUGAGACAAAGACAACAAUAUUAUCUCGUAAUUGUGUCAUGCAGACAUUCAAACAGAUCACAUGUACCAACCCACACGCCUGACUGACUGAGUUUGGUUUUACGCCGCUUUUAGCAAUAUUCCAGCAACAUCACGGCGGGGGACACCAGAAAUGGGCUUCAUACAUUGUGCCCAUUGGGGACAUCGAACCCGGGUACUCAGCGUGAUUCGCGAACGCCUUAACCACUAGGCUACCCACCGCCCCUAGGAACUGUGUUAGGUCCUCGUGAACUUUGUCGUGGUGGAUUCAUGAGGGUACAUGAUAGUUUAAUUCACUGUAAAACUGCGUUCAAUUGUAUGAUAUUAUUAUUUUUAAGUCAUUUCAGCGAAAUGUACACAAGAGUGAUCUCUAGUCAAAUGCACAUAGCAGUGAGCUCAAGCCAUCUGUUAAUAUCCGUUACCUCUGCUCUCCUAUGCACUCUCUAUGCAUUUAAAUCUAUUGUUAUUCCAACGUUGUUAUAUAUUGCUGCUAUAUCGCAACAUGUCAGCUGUACACAAUAAUCUUCGGUCAUCAUUUAAGCCAAGACUGUUUUAUGUCAAGUCACUACCACGUGGCAUUUAUAACAAUGUUUAAAAUCUCUUGCAAACGUUAACGUAUGCACAAUAUUCACGCCUUAUGUACUAUAUGUUUCUUCAAUAUUAUUUUUCUUAAGUUUGUUUUUAUAAUCACAAAGCAGAACGUCUCAUGUUAUUGAUAUAUGAUUUCGAAAUAAAACAAAACCUACUCUU